GGUCAGGAGGAGGGUCAGGAGGAGGUUCAGGAGGAGGGUCAGGAGGAGGUUCAGGAGGAGGGUCAGGAGGCUGUUCAGGAGGUUCAGGAGGAUGGUCAGGAGGAGGGUCAGGAGGAGGUUCAGGAGGUUGCUCAGGAGGGUCAGGAGGAGGGUCAGGAGGAGGUUCAGGAGGUUGCUCAGGAGGGUCAGGAGGAGGUUCAGGAGGUCGUUCAGGAGGAGGUUCAGGAGGUUCAGGAGGAGGUUCAGGAGGUUGCUCAGGAGGGUCAGGAGGAGGGUCAGGAGGUCGCUCACCGAUGCUGAUGAGGUCCAUGUGCAGCAGGACCUCCUGGUAGAGUCUCAGGAUCCC
This is a long non-coding RNA of Dicentrarchus labrax (European seabass), 346 nucleotides long. RefSeq lists it as uncharacterized. The record is from RefSeq and is a predicted model, not a curated record. NCBI's taxonomy places the organism in Eukaryota, Metazoa, Chordata, Actinopteri, Moronidae. The transcript is spliced from 4 exons.